GGGGAAUAUUGGACAAUGGACGAAAGUCUGAUCCAGCGACGCCGCGUGGAGGAAGAAGUCCUUCGGGAUGUAAACUCAUGAAGCUAACGAAUAAGACGGAAGGGGAACCUUCCGGGAGAAGGUAAUUAGUGAAAAGCCCCGGCUAACUACGUGCCAGCAGCCGCGGUAAUACGUAGGGGGCGAGCGUUGCCCGGAAUUACUGGGCGUAAAGGGAACGUAGGUGGCUCUUAAAGUCAGGUGUGAAAAUAACGAAGCUAACAGGUUAAUGCGCUUGAAACGAAAGGGCUUGAGGGCAAUAGAGGGAGAUGGAAUUACCUGUGUAGGGGUGAAAUCCGCAGAUAUAGGUAAGAAGGCCGGUGGGGAAGCCGAUCUCCUGGGUUGACUCUGACACUGAGGUUCGAAAGCUAGGGGAGCAAACC
Molecule: ribosomal RNA, 419 nt
Filed under: uncultured bacterium
Lineage: Bacteria
Description: bacterial SSU rRNA
Rfam family: Bacterial small subunit ribosomal RNA
Source: RNAcentral